This 427-nucleotide ribosomal RNA is filed under the name uncultured bacterium. RNAcentral describes it as "bacterial SSU rRNA". It matches the Rfam family "Bacterial small subunit ribosomal RNA", at positions 355 to 774 of the family's 1533-position model. The record is from RNAcentral.
UGGGGAAUUUUGGACAAUGGGCGAAAGCCUGAUCCAGCCAUGCCGCGUGAGUGAAGAAGGCCUUCGGGUUGUAAAGCUCUUUCAGGUGGAAAGAAAUCGCGCAGGAUAAUACUCUGCGUGGAUGACGGUACCGGAAGAAGAAGCACCGGCUAACUACGUGCCAGCAGCCGCGGUAAUACGUAGGGUGCGAGCGUUAAUCGGAAUUACUGGGCGUAAAGCGUGCGCAGGCGGUUAUGUAAGACAGAUGUGAAAUCCCCGGGCUCAACCUGGGAACUGCGUUUGUGACUGCAUAACUAGGGCACGGCAGAGGGAGGUGGAAUUCCGCGUGUAGCAGUGAAAUGCGUAGAGAUGCGGAGGAACACCGAUGGCGAAGGCAGCCUCCUGGGCCAGUACUGACGCUCAUGCACGAAAGCGUGGGGAGCAAACA